Molecule: long non-coding RNA, 2473 nt
Organism: Planococcus citri (citrus mealybug)
Lineage: Eukaryota; Metazoa; Arthropoda; Insecta; Hemiptera; Pseudococcidae
Exons: 4
Source: RefSeq, a predicted model, not a curated record
GACGCGUUCUAAGUAGGUAGCUAGCUAUAGAAGCAAUGUACAAUAUGUAGUACUUGAGCUACGCGGAAAUUAUCCCCCGCAUGGUUAUAAUAAAUCUGUUUCUAUGAUUCGAGAUUCAAUUCAGCAUUGGCAUUUUGAACGUGGACGUAAUAGCUUGUCAACCUUUAUAAUACACUAUUAUUAUCGUUUAGGUUUGGGCUAUUUCAGUUUGCGUGUCACUUAUACCUAUCUUUUUGUUUAUUGUACUAGUUCAUUUUUAUACGUUUUACUUUUGUGAGAGAUCGACUACUUUUCUACAAUCAAUCCGGUUCUAGAGUUGGAUAAUUAUUCUAAAAAUUUAGUCUUGUGCAAAAUUGGAGCAGAGAUUUUGGGCAACAUUUAAAAAAUGAAGUUUGAUAUUUCAUCUAAUGUUUAUACCUAACCUAUCAAUUUUUUCUAUUAAUAAGUUCUUCUGGUUACAGUAAAAAGUAAUAACAUUCAUAAAUUAGGUUCAUUCAGUUUCUUCUCGGAUCAAAACUGGUAUCUUUAAUCACCUAGGUAAUUUUAUUGUGAUUUGAGUAUUUUGAGUUCUAUACCUAUAUAUGCCAUACGAAAUUUGAAUUUCAUGUAGGUAUGCGAACAUGGGUAGCCUAUAGGCAAUAGAAAUGGGCACUUCAUUUUUUAAAAAAAUAUUUAAUGUAGGGAGGUAGGUACCCAUCGUAUUUUCACCUUUUUCCAUUUUUAGGGCGAGAUCGGUGUACUCUACAAUAUUACCUACUGUGGUGACUGUAUAGAGAAAUGAUCUCUUGAUUUGAAGUUUAUGUGUUCAAGCCAGUCAAGCCUCAAAUUAUGAAGCACGUAGCAUCAUUUUUCCAUCUGAUUUCGUCUCAUUAAUGCUGUAAAUCCAAUGCUGGAGCAUGUAGUGGCGUUGUCAAACCCUAAUACAAUAUGUAGAAGUUUGGUGACCAUAAAUCAUUAAUUACUGUUCUCACAUUGCAUAUUUUCAUUUCACAUAUUUAAAUAUGGCUUUCGUGCAAAAAACAAACAGAUUUUUUCCUUUUUUUGAAAAAUCAAAGAUUCGUUUAUUAAAGCUCAGGUUGUUCAAAAAAACAAAAUUCUAGUUUCAUAAUUUAUAAACAUUAUUUUCCAUCUCUUUUUCUGGAGUUGUUUUGGCAUACUAUCCAUAUCUGCUGAAAAAUGUAUAUUAGUCGUCUUUGAAGAUGAAUUUGCCUAACCUCUAGCUAGUAGGAGCUUUAUUUAUUUUCAUGCCAUGAAAAAGAUCAGCAUUGAAUCGCAUUGAAUUCAUUAUUUCAGUUUACGAUAGUGCCGAAAAUACACAUAUUGACAAAUUGAUUACUUCGAUUUAAGAUGAUCAAAAUGGAGUAUAUGUUUUUUUCUGCUUAAAGCUGGUUAUUUUUCUGUAGGAUGCUUUGUUCAAAAGAUACCUAUACAUACGCAUAAAACGUAGAUAUACCUAAUGUAAUGUCCUACUUUAGAAUUUUUUUUUUUUUUAAUGAGCACAUUUAUAUCCGAGAAUUCCACCACUACCCCACCCCCUCUCUUUCAGUCUCUUGUAGGUGAAUUUUCAAUAUCCUACAAUACUCGGAGACAAAUUCCCAAAACAUACCUUUAUUCAUUGGGGGUAAAAAUCAAAAAUGUGUAAAAUGCAGUGUGGUGAAUUUCACCAUCUUGUGGCAUUUUUGGGAUUUUUUGAAUGUGACAUUCCAAGGUUACAAUGUUAUCCUACCUCGUGGCUCGUACCCUCAGCAGUCAGCACUCAAUUCAAAUAAUGAUGAAAUAAUAAAACUUGAAAAUAAAAUUUGUAAGUAGACUUGGAAUAAUCUAGUAGAUCUUGAAUUCGUUGUGUAAAAAACACCAAUUAUGGCUGCUGCUCGAACUUUGGAAGAACGUCUAGGAGCUAUCGGCGUGGCGAUGCCUGCCGACCACAGAGAAGCGUUUGUUCUUGUAGGAUGUUUACUGAGGCAUCUUGAAACCGAUAGCGACAUUAAGGUAUCACUAGUAUGUUUGCGCGAGAGAAUGUGAAGAAGUUCCAGUCUGUGGUUUUAUCCGCGUAUCUUCCUCCGUUAAGUCGUCGUCGUCGCCGCUGGACUCUAAACGACUUCCGAUCAGCCUACAUGAAAUUUUAUGACGACGAACGUCCUGCUGCCACCGCAUCGGCCACUGUACGAGAAACGUUUCCUCACGGAGCUGAUAUUUUCGCCGAUAAUUGUAUUGGGCUGUAUCAACAGACAUCUGCAAAUAUCCGUUUUUUAUCUGAUUUGUAUUGCUGUCGUAGCAGUGUACAGGAGCUGAGAAGGUCAAUAUUCUUUCGUUCGGCUCAGCUAACAAUCAACAGGCAGUUUUAUCGGCCAUUAAGUCUCUUCCAGAGAUGAGAGUUCCUGCAGAUCUUUGAUGUUUGUUUCUAAUCUUUGUCAGAUCCGUUGUACGAAGUCGUAUUUUGUUAAUAUAUUAUUUCAUAUUUUGUUCAUACCUA